This 493-nucleotide ribosomal RNA is filed under the name uncultured bacterium. RNAcentral's name for it is "partial 16S ribosomal RNA". It matches the Rfam family "Bacterial small subunit ribosomal RNA", at positions 29 to 507 of the family's 1533-position model. The record is from RNAcentral.
ACGAACGCUGGCGGCGUGCUUAACACAUGCAGGUCGAACGGAAAGGCCUGCUUUCCCUUGUGGAUUGCGGGUACUCGAGUGGCGAACGGGUGAGUAACACGUGAGUGAUCUGCCCCCAACUUGGGUAUAAGCCUGGGAAACUGGGUCUAAUUCCCGAUAGGACUGCAGGGUGGUGCCUGUGGUGGAAAACGAUUUUCUAGUGGUUGGGGAUGAGCUCGCGGCCUAUCAGCUUGUUGGUGGGGUAAUGGCCUACCAAGGCGGCGACGGGUAGCCGGCCUGAGAGGGUGGACGGCCACAUUGGGACUGAGAUACGGCCCAGACUCCUACGGGAGGCAGCAGUGGGGAAUAUUGCACAAUGGGCGGAAGCCUGAUGCAGCGACGCCGCGUGGGGGAUGACGGCCUUCGGGUUGUAAACUCCUUUCGACCGCGAGGAAGCCACCUGGUUGGAAGGGUGGUGACGGUAGUGGUAGAAGAAGCACCGGCUAACUACGUG